Asparagus officinalis (garden asparagus) is the source of this 1325-nucleotide RNA transcript. It is a transcript of the gene named ABC transporter B family member 29, chloroplastic-like, with no coding region annotated. Lineage: Eukaryota; Viridiplantae; Streptophyta; Magnoliopsida; Asparagales; Asparagaceae. The record is from RefSeq and is a predicted model, not a curated record. The transcript is spliced from 4 exons.
CAUUCACUUAGCCCCUUCAUCCAGUCCCUAUGGAAACUCAUCCUCAAAUGCUCAGCGCCACCUCCGUCUCUCUCUCUCUCUCUCUCCCUCCGUCCCUCGGUUCGGCCGCCUCCUCGCCCAACCCGAACCCGAUAAGCUAAUCACCGAGGGUUUGACCCUUGCAGCCCUAGCUUACACCAGGUCUUUAACGAGUUAUCUUCAACAGGCGUUUCUUUGGGAGGCAGCGUUAGGGCGGCAUACGAGGUUAGGGUUUAUUUUUUUAGUUAGAGUGAUCGAGAGGGAUUUAGGGUUCUUUGAAGGGAAUGAUGAUGUUUUCGCUGGGCAUGUUGCGCAUCGGAUCACGACGGAGGUGGCAGAUGUUGCCGAUACGACGUUCUUCCUUAUGUGUCGUUUGGCAUUGCAUAUCUUGGUGAAAGGCUCUGCAAAAAACCCAAGAAUGCGUAGUCAAGUGCUGCUAGACUAUCCGCCUCCCUAAAUAAGGCUAACAAUGGAGAGUUUAGUGAGUGCUCACGAUUCCAGAGGCAUGCUCUUGAUGAUUUGGUACAAAGGUCGAAGAAGCGAAAAAUGAAGGCACUCAUACAUCUGAUUGUCCAGGUCAUAUGUAUAGGUGGAUUGAUACUCCUUUGUGCUGGUUCAUUGAUUGUCUCAAGAAAUUCCUCAGGCACUUCGAGUUUAGUGUCGUUUAUAACGUCUCUAAUCCUCUUGGUUGAGCCUCUUCGGGUAACUUAUCUAUUCCUACUUAAAGCAUAUAUUAUGUAUCAAAGAUAUUCAAACUUUAACGUAACAUUCCUAUUUAGCUACUAUUACUAAUAGUUUUGUUCCUCAAAUGAAUAUUCUUAAAUUAAGAAAUGUGUACAGCUAAAGGGCAAAUAAACAAUUUGUGUCAUCAUGUGAAAAACAAAAUCUGGAAACAUUAUUGAGGUGCACGACAUAAUGAACAAUUUUUUUAGGUUUAUACCAAUGUUUUCUUGAAUUCCUUAUUAGCUUUUAGAGAUGAUUUGCUUCCGCAGCCUAUAUACAUGGAUAUCAUGGGGAUGGCAUUUGAUGAGCAUGUAGCUGCAAGUGGUGGAGAGGCUAGAGUAGGUACCGUAGGAAGUAGCAGUACGGUAUGGUAUUUUGAUACAGCCGUCGCUAACAAUAGGGAUCACGACGAUAGAGACCAAUAUGACUACGAUGAAUGAGUAGUGAGUUAGACUUUUUUGUUACUUAUGUGGACUUUUGGAUUGUGUUGAACAUAUUAUGACCUCCAGAUUAUAUAUAUGUGAAUCGAUGAAUGAUGAAUGUGAUUAUUGUUGGAUGUGAAUCGAUGAAUAUGAAUUAAUGAA